UUGGUCAGCCGCAGUGAAUAGGCCCAAGCGACUGUUUACCAAAAACACAGGUCUCUGCUAAUUCGUAAGAAGAUGUAUAGGGGCUGACACCUGCCCGGUGCUGGAAGGUUAAGAGGAAGGGUUAGCUUCGGCGACGCUCUGAAUUGAAGCCCCAGUAAACGGCGGCCGUAACUAUAACGGUCCUAAGGUAGCGAAAUUCCUUGUCGGGUAAGUUCCGACCCGCACGAAAGGUGUAACGAUUUGGGCACUGUCUCAACGAGAGACUCGGUGAAAUUAUAGUACCUGUGAAAAUGCAGGUUACCCGCGACAGGACGGAAAGACCCCAUGGAGCUUUACUGUAGUUUGAUAUUGAGUGUCUGUACAGCUUGUACAGGAUAGGUAGGAGCCAAUGAAGCCAGGACGCCAGUCUUGGUGGAGGCGCUGGUGGGAUACUACCCUCGCUGUAUGGCCACUCUAACCCACGACCGUUAACCGGUCGGGAGACAGUGUCAGAUGGGCAGUUUGACUGGGGCGGUCGCCUCCCAAAAUGUAACGGAGGCGCCCAAAGGUUCCCUCAGAAUGGUUGGAAAUCAUUCGUAGAGUGUAAAGGCAGAAGGGAGCUUGACUGCGAGACCUACAAGUCGAGCAGGGACGAAAGUCGGGCUUAGUGAUCCGGUGGUACCAUAUGGAAGGGCCAUCGCUCAACGGAUAAAAGCUACCCUGGGGAUAACAGGCUUAUCUCCCCCAAGAGUUCACAUCGACGGGGAGGUUUGGCACCUCGAUGUCGGCUCAUCGCAUCCUGGGGCUGUAGUCGGUCCCAAGGGUUGGGCUGUUCGCCCAUUAAAGCGGUACGCGAGCUGGGUUCAGAACGUCGUGAGACAGUUCGGUCCCUAUCCGUCGCGGGCGUUGGAGAUUUGAGAAGAGCUAUCCUUAGUACGAGAGGACCGGGAUGGACACACCGCUGGUGUACCAGUUGUCAAGCCAUUGGCAUCGCUGGGUAGCUAUGUGUGGACGGGAUAAACGCUGAAAGCAUCUAAGCGUGAAGCCCCCUUCAAGAUGAGAUCUCCCAUUCCUUUAAGGAAGUAAGACCCCUGAAAGAUGAUCAGGUAGAUAGGCUGGAAGUGGAAGCAUAG
RNAcentral lists this ribosomal RNA (1112 nucleotides) under Alkalibacterium subtropicum. RNAcentral describes it as "bacterial LSU rRNA". It matches the Rfam family "Bacterial large subunit ribosomal RNA", at positions 1769 to 2878 of the family's 2925-position model. The record is from RNAcentral. Lineage: Bacteria; Bacillati; Bacillota; Bacilli; Lactobacillales; Carnobacteriaceae.